UGAAAUACUCAUAUUGCUUAAUAAUCAAAACAUAGCAUCGUACGAUCGUUCCUAUUUUUACCAAUUGUUACACUUAUGAAGGUAAUUAACUUUUCGGGUUGUUCACAUAUAGGUAACUAUCUUUUUUUUGUACACAUCUAGGUAACAAACUUUUUGGAACUGUUCACAUAUGACCAUUAUGACCUACUAUAGCAGGUUACAUACAACUACAACAGAUCAUAAUGGUUAUAUGUGAACACUUUCAACAAGUUCGUUACCUAGAUGUGUACAAAAAAAAUAGUUACCCAAAUAUGAACAAAACCAAAAGUAAGAGUAAAUUACAUGAAUGGUCCCUAUGGUUUAGGAGAAUUUGUGUGUUUGGUCCCCAACUUAUUUUUUUAACUCGGAUGGUCUCUACUGUUUAUUUGUGUUGCACACUUAGUCUCUGUCUUACCUAAAAAAGACUAUUGUUACCUUAUUAAUUUAUUUUUUUAGUUAAUUUUCUUAUUUAUGUAUUUGUUUUUAUAUGUUAAAAAAAAUUAAUAGGCCCCACAUAUCUGUAUUUCCUCAUCGUAAACCUAAAACCACAUUUGAGAAAUUUAAUCUGAGUCGCACCGGUCACCAUCCCAUAUCUCAUCAUCUGCAACUUCUAUUUUAUUUAUAUCUUUAGUGAUAUGGAAGUCUUCACCAUCCUUUUUUUGGUCCUUCAACUUUGGUGAACAAACACCAUAACACACUGUCUCUUCACUUUAGUGGGUUGUGGUGCUGGUUCGUUGGAGUUGAAGGACCGAAAAAGAAUAAAUGGUGAAGAAUUCGAUGUCAUUAAAGAUGGAAAAGAAAUAAAUGUUGAGGAUGAUGAGUGAUGAGAUGGUGAGGACAUACAGAUAUGUGAGCUCUAUUAGUUUUUUUAAGCAUAUAAAAAAAUACAUAAAUAAGAAAAUUAAUUAAAAAAUUAAAUUAAUAAGGGCACAAUAGUCUUUUUAGGUAAGACAUGGACCAAACGCAACAAAAAUAAAUAGUAGGGACCAUCCGAAUUAAAAAAAAAUAAGUUAGGGACCAAAAGUACAAAUUCCCCCAUACCACAGGGACCAUUCGUGUAAUUUACUCUUACUUUUGGUUUUGUUCAUAUUUGGGUAACUAUUUUUUUUGUACACAUCUAGGUAACGAACUUGUUGAAAGUGUUCACAUGUAACCAUUAUGACCUACUAUAGCCAGAUGUCACCUGCUACAACAGGUCGUAAUGGUCAUAUGUGAACAGUUCCAAAAAGUUUGUUACCUAGAUGUGUACAAAAAAAAGAUAGUUACCUACAUGUGAACAAACUGAAAAAUUAAUUACCUUAAUUAGUCCUAUUCCCUAGUUCAUACAACACUCAACAAUUGGCAGAAAAGUACAAGGCCUAUGAUGGGACCCACCUUGGUCUAGCUCUCCCUCGGAAGUUGGACGUAGACCAGCACGCGCUGAGCAACAACCCAUCGCCGACAGCAACCCUGAAAAUCGACGGUCAUUUCCAGCUAGUCAACUAUCCCCGACUCCGAUGAAGCAUUCCUAACAGCGCCCGCAGAUAAUACGGCCCCCUGUUUUUCUCGUUUCGCUGCCGGCAAUCAAAGCUUCAGCCUUGCCGGUCACUAUCACGAGGCAACCCUAAUAAGAAAUCCCCCAUCGGGAACCAAAGCCUCAACAUCACCGCCGGUCUUUGGCUGCUGCUACCCCUUCCACCAAGCCAUCUGCCUUCUCAAAUGGGUCUCUCCAAAUCAAAUCAAUAGGCAAACUGCCUUAUCCGUCCAGUUCCAACUGGUUGACAUCAACCUCCGAGCAAAUGCCGCCAACGAGAGAAGCUUGACCAAUGUCGGCCACAUUUAGCACCUCCGAGAUGACAGCAAUUCCAGAGAUAAUGUCCUGCUAUGUCGCCUACAAGAUCCAGUGUCGCCAUCAUCGAUAUCAUCUAAGCUUUGAUGAAACACCCAACUCCAGUCGCCGACCACCUUAAAGUGACAAUCCAGCAACGUAGCGCCACCGAUGAGCCCAAACACCGAUGUUUCUAUAGAAUCCAGCAGGGAACCACCAAAAUCACCACAACCGGUAUCAAAGAACACAUGUGGCGACUUCCAGCAACCCUAAGUCGCCAACAAUCUCGCUAUGGUCAACGAUCUUCGGCGUUUUCUAUCUUUCAACGUCGUGAAAUCGUAGGAUACCCUGGAAGCCUAAACCUAAAACUGAUGGGAAACGAAUGGAUUGGUACACGAUCGGGGGGAAGAAAUGACUUGGGUUAAUCAAUUGUUAAGUGGGUUCACAAAUUGUA
RNAcentral lists this long non-coding RNA (2279 nucleotides) under Lactuca sativa (garden lettuce). RNAcentral's name for it is "long non-coding RNA (LSAT_LNC005192)". The record is from RNAcentral. Lineage: Eukaryota; Viridiplantae; Streptophyta; Magnoliopsida; Asterales; Asteraceae.